Molecule: ribosomal RNA, 405 nt
Filed under: uncultured bacterium
Lineage: Bacteria
Description: partial 16S ribosomal RNA
Rfam family: Bacterial small subunit ribosomal RNA
Source: RNAcentral
AUUGAACGCUGGCGGCAGGCCUAACACAUGCAAGUCGAACGAGUGGCGGACGGGUGAGUAAUGUCUGGGAAACUGCCCGAUGGAGGGGGAUAACUACUGGAAACGGUAGCUAAUACCGCAUACUAUCGGAUGUGCCCAGAUGGGUUUAGCUAGUAGGUGGGGUAACGGCUCACCUAGGCGACGAUCGCUAGCUGGUCUGCGAGGAUGCGCAGCGAACUGAGAAGUGAGCCAGGGUCCAGAGUCCGACGGGAGGCAGCAGAGGGGAAUUGUGCUCACUGGGGGCAAGCCUGUUGCACCCAAGCAGGAUGUAUGUAGAAGGCCUGCGGGUUGUAAGUACUUUCAGCGAGAAGGCGUUACUCGCAGAAGAAGCACCGGCUAACUCCGUGCCAGCAGCCGCGGUAAUAC